This 465-nucleotide ribosomal RNA is filed under the name Vreelandella stevensii. RNAcentral's name for it is "partial 16S ribosomal RNA". It matches the Rfam family "Bacterial small subunit ribosomal RNA", at positions 338 to 795 of the family's 1533-position model. Lineage: Bacteria; Pseudomonadati; Pseudomonadota; Gammaproteobacteria; Oceanospirillales; Halomonadaceae. The record is from RNAcentral.
CCUACGGGGGGCUGCAGUGGGGAAUAUUGGACAAUGGGGGCAACCCUGAUCCAGCCAUGCCGCGUGUGUGAAGAAGGCCCUCGGGUUGUAAAGCACUUUCAGUGAGGAAGAACGCCUGGUGGUUAAUACCCAUCAGGAAAGACUUCACUCACAGAAGAAGCACCGGCUAACUCCGUGCCAGCAGCCGCGGUAAUACGGAGGGUGCGAGCGUUAAUCGGAAUUACUGGGCGUAAAGCGCGCGUAGGUGGCUUGAUAAGCCGGUUGUGAAAGCCCCGGGCUCAACCUGGGAACGGCAUCCGGAACUGUCAAGCUAGAGUGCAGGAGAGGAAGGUAGAAUUCCCGGUGUAGCGGUGAAAUGCGUAGAGAUCGGGAGGAAUACCAGUGGCGAAGGCGGCCUUCUGGACUGACACUGACACUGAGGUGCGAAAGCGUGGGUAGCAAACAGGAUUAGAUACCCGAGUAGUC